This 142-nucleotide microRNA precursor is filed under the name Paramuricea clavata. The record is from RNAcentral. Lineage: Eukaryota; Metazoa; Cnidaria; Anthozoa; Malacalcyonacea; Plexauridae.
UGCUGCACCCCGUGAACAAUAUUGUUAACAAGUUGUUGAACCAUCAACAUUGUUGUAACAAUCAUGUUAACAACUUGCAACAGUACUGAUGGUUGAACAACUUGUUAACAAUAUUGUUCACGGGGUGCAGCGCAACAUUGUU